RNAcentral lists this long non-coding RNA (328 nucleotides) under Gallus gallus (chicken). Lineage: Eukaryota; Metazoa; Chordata; Aves; Galliformes; Phasianidae. The record is from RNAcentral.
UCCUCAGGCUUCAGUCCAGCAGAGAUGCUAUAGCCAUUCUCAGUAGUUCUUUUGGACCUCAGAGUUCAGUAUAUAGUAAGACUAACUGAGCGGUUCAUUUUCUUGCCAAUGAGUCGAGAUGGUCUACUUUGCGUCGUAGAUCUAGUUGUCAUUCUGUCAGUGAACAGAGCUCUCUCCUCAGCUGCAGCCUUUGCCAUCUGUGCCUUCUUCAGCUCUUUCUGCAAGAGUGAAUUCUUGAAUUUUUCAGCAUUCAGCUCUAUCCGCAGCUGCUCUGCGCUCUUCUUUGCAGCAGACAGCAGCACUGAAUGCUUGACAAGCGCCACAGCUG